GGUCUGAUGCCACGUCGCUGGUAGCUUUAAUUGCAGUGACCAGUGAUGCUAUGAUUGGACCAAAAUCAAAAGUGAAUUUCGUUUGUUUCGCAUCCUGAUAGGAAUCUGUGGAUUUCAUACUUUAUGAUCUGCGGAGCCGUUUUGUGCGAUUACAUUU
This is a small nucleolar RNA of Vigna unguiculata (cowpea), 157 nucleotides long. RefSeq annotates it as small nucleolar RNA snoR2/U65. NCBI's taxonomy places the organism in Eukaryota, Viridiplantae, Streptophyta, Magnoliopsida, Fabales, Fabaceae. The record is from RefSeq and is a predicted model, not a curated record.